RNAcentral lists this ribosomal RNA (364 nucleotides) under Mycolicibacterium aurum. RNAcentral describes it as "bacterial SSU rRNA". It matches the Rfam family "Bacterial small subunit ribosomal RNA", at positions 100 to 498 of the family's 1533-position model. The record is from RNAcentral. Lineage: Bacteria; Bacillati; Actinomycetota; Actinomycetes; Mycobacteriales; Mycobacteriaceae.
GAACGGGUGAGUAACGUGGGUGAUCUGCCCUGCACUUUGGGAUAACCUGGGAAACUGGUAAUACCGAAUAGGACUACGCGAUGGUCGUGGUGGAAAGUUUUGCGGUGUGGGAUGGGCCCGCGGCCUAUCAGCUUGUUGGUGAGGUUACGGCUCACCAGGCGACGACGGGUAGCCGGCCUGAGAGGGUGACCGGCCACACUGGGACUGAGAUACGGCCCAGACUCCUACGGGAGGCAGCAGUGGGGAAUAUUGCACAAUGGGCGCAAGCCUGAUGCAGCGACGCCGCGUGAGGGAUGACGGCCUUCGGGUUGUAAACCUCUUUCGCCAGGGACGAAGGACGGUACCUGGAGAAGAAGGACCGGCC